This 3164-nucleotide long non-coding RNA is filed under the name Glycine max (soybean). RNAcentral describes it as "long non-coding RNA (GMAX_LNC004470)". The record is from RNAcentral. Lineage: Eukaryota; Viridiplantae; Streptophyta; Magnoliopsida; Fabales; Fabaceae.
UUUACUGCAUGACCACCUAGUUCAUAACCUGUGAUGUGUUUGUAAACUCCUGAUUUGUAGUGAGCAAAAUCCUGUGAAGAGGUCAAACUAUUAAAAGGUAAAUUUGUCUUAAAAUAAUGAAACCAAGUAAACGCUAUUCCACCCGCAAGAAAACAAAGGUUCCAUAAAAAUGUACUAUUUUAUGUUUGAAGUCUAGAUAUUGCAUGCAAAUGAUGCAGGGAAUAGUUCCGGAUGGUUUCGUUAAUUGAAAGGUCACUUGCAAAGAGGGACCCUUCUAAACGCUUAAACAGGAAGGAAGCAAAGAGGGGUCAUUUUUAAUGCUUUUGUUAAUUCCAAUCAGAUAUAAUAAGCAUGUCCUGCCAGUAUGAUGGGGACAAAAAAAUGACAUAGGAAGUUGCAGUUACACACAUCUUUUUUACAGCAUGUAAGAGACCAAGCGACCAAAAUAAAUAAAUAAAUGAUUCUUAUAGGUUCAUGUUUUUUAUAAAGUGAAUCCAAUGACUCAAAAGUCUGCUAAAGUAGCUUAACAGUUAGGUGGUGACCCAUGGAACACAUAAUAGGGCCAGCUUGUAUUGUAAGGUCUGCUUUAUUUUUGGUGUGUUAAAAUUGUAUCGCCAACAGUUCUGAUUGAUAACACUAGUUUCUAAUUUAAAAAUUAUUGUUUUCUACCUAAGAUCAAUCCAAACCCUCAAAGCAUAAAAGAUGACAAUUGCCCCCAUAUUUGUCCGGAUAGAAUGAGCACCCAAACAAAGGGAGAAAAAUAAAAAGAAAAAUCAAGGAGAGGAGAGGAAAGAAAUCAAAGCCUCUUUCAAGUGUUGGACCAAAUUUUUUGUGAAUGCCUACGUCUUCCCACUCCACAGAUUUAGUAGACUGAAAUACUGAACGCUAAUAAAAAUAAAUUCCUACUUCUAAAACCAUUCCAACCCUUGCACUAAUGAUCCCUUAAUGAGAAUCAUAUGUAUCCUUCAAAAGCCAAUUACUACUUUUCGGGUAUUAAAAAUGUCUGAUCCAUCUCCUUUUCUAUCUGAACUGAGUAUAUUCGGUCCUAAACCUUUUCCAUCUGAUCCUUAUAACCAUCUGCAUUUUAUUCUAUUUUUUCUCAUUAGACAUCUGAUCAUUUUUCUUUACUUGUAAGUUGUAAACAUUAACCCUAAAACAGCACCAAAGUCAUUAAACCCUAAAACAACAAGUAUUUAAUGAAGUUGGAGAAUUCAAAUAUAAAUGUUUGGCCUGUCUUGUACAUGUCUUAAGAGCAUGGCUGCUCAAGAAAGGCAACCAAAAUGAGGCAAAAGAAAAGAUUCGCUGCUGGUGACUAUGGGGGGAAGCUAAUUGUAAUGGAUCUUGGGCUAGCUAAAAGAAAGCACUUAUGCCAAUAUGACAAUUAAGGGGAAAACUUAAUUAGAAGAGUUCUUAAUAAAAAUUGAAACCCACCAUGUUGUAAAAUAAUUGUUUUUUAAAAAUUACUUUAAUUUUUCCAAACCCAACAGCUUUAUCACAAACAAAUUAUCACCCCAGCUCAUUUAUCUCACCCCCCAACCAUUCAGCCUUCACAUAUCUUGUUUAAAGUUUUUACCCAAAAAUAAUCCUCAAUCAUAUCAUAUUCAAUUUGCACACUCAUUAGAUGCCAACACCAAAUUGCACCAGAAAAAAAAAGUUCCCACAAUACCAAAGGGUCAGUGGGGCCAAUUAACUAUAUUUAAUUAUUUGGCAUACAUUAAUUAAAAGUAUUUAGCAUAAAUAUAUCAUAAGAGCUGUUUAGUUUUGUAUAAUAUCGUUUGUCUUUGGGCAACAUUUCUGUCACUAACCCAGACAAUAUAGAAAAAUCCAAAAAUCUGAUAUAAGCCAUUUUGAACAUCUAGAUUUUUUAAUUUUUAUCCGUUUGUGAGAAAAUUUGUAGCUUUAAAAUCAAUUUCCUUUUAUAAUUUAUUUCUUUAAACUCUUCCAACCAAUUAGCAAAUAGCAACAUAUUGUUUUGUUGACUGUUUUUCUGGGUUAACAUAGUGGUUAAAUGUAAUAGAUUCUCUUCACUCACUACUUUGUCUCAUUAAUUAUUGAUUCAACUUUUCAUAUAGUUAAAAAUUCAAAUACUGAAUUUGUUUAGCAUUAAUCUCCUCUCCUAAUUCAAGGCUCAAGCUUGCAGAAAUUUACACCAUUGCCAAAUUUAGCUGUUGAAAUUUAAAAGCUUUCACGUCAGUGAAUCCUGUAAAUCUAGAGCUUGCACUCUAUCAUUGUUGUGACGUUAACUACUCACAUUGCUGCCCUAAAAUGAAUUUUCAUGUUCAUAAUUCAUUGUAUUACAUCUUAGAUGACUGCGCAUCCUAAUUCUUGCAAAAACUAUCCCAACAUUGCAAUCACAUACAAUAAGGAAAGUCCUGUCAAUAUGACAAAGAUAAUGAACUUCACCUUAACCAUAAUUCUAUGAGAAUAAGACACAGAUUUGAAAGAAAUAGCCUAGGGUUGAAGGACAGUUACACUAACUUCAAUAUCGCCCCAAUACAGCUUUACCAAACUACUCUAUAUUUUUCAACUCUUACCAAUACUACUUAUAUGGAAUUUCCACCCUCCUUCGUGUCAAACUUUGAAAGACUACUACUUCACAAUUAGUUUCGGAAUCCAAUAUAAUCUGCCAAAAGAAUGCAACAUAGAUAUUUAUUCUAAAGACAUCUAUAGUCAAACAGAAUGAAAAGCCUCAAAUGAUCAAAGUCACUCUGUGAUCUGAGCUUCCGAAGUUGAAUAUUCACUUCAACUUCCCCACUAAUCUUCUCCUAUACCAUGAAAACCUGGUAAAUAUUUCCUCUAAACACCUAUCCAUAAGUUUGUAUUUUAUAAUAUGCUUUGCAUGUCAGAUCACAUGACACCCAAUCUCACGCACCUUAUCAAUUGUCUCAAAAAUAUUAAUGUAUAAUUAUAAAUUUUAAAUAGGAUGGUUUUGGGUUUUCAGAAAUUGACAAAGGAAGUUGCAGAAAAAUUAAUCGCAAAAGAGUGUGUAAGAGUUUCAUUUACCUCAUAAACAGUGAAUGCAACUUCAACUGGCCCAUUCUUGUAAACUUCCGUCAUGAUAUCAUGGGGAUCAGAGCUCACUCUGUAUGCAUUGACACUAUAGUGUUUUGACUUCUUCCAAACUUGGUUCCCACUUACACACUUUUUAACACACUUGGGAGUCC